UAUUAAGAUAAUUAAGAACAUUAUCAAUCUUCACUGUUAUAUAUAAAAAUUUAUAUUAUAUCUAAAAUCAAAGAAUUAUGCUGCUAAUCAAGUGAAUAUUCGAUCUUUCACAUUAAAGACAAUACAUAAUGUAGAAAAACUCAUCAUGUUAGCAUCCAAGUUUAAUGCAACACAUCUAAGUAAGAAAAUAUAUAAAAGCGUUAAGCAAGAAAUAUUAAACAAUGUCAUUAAACAUUAUCUGUUGCAGUGACUUGGAUGCUAAUAUAAUAAGGUAGUGAGAUUUUGUAUAAUAUGUAAUGUCUUUGCUGUGAAAGAUCAAAUGUAUAUUUUAUUAGCAGCAUAAUAUCAUAUAAGAAUAUUCCAAAUUUAUUUUAUGUAUAUCAAAUUUGGCAUUAUCUUAUUUAUUCAUAAAAGAGCUAAUUUCAUGUACUUAUAAAUAGUUAUUGUGCAAAUAGAUAAGAAGAGAUGCAAUAUUGUGGAGGAGAUAGCAACUUAGUUGCAUUUUCAUCAUAUGAUUCACCAAAGUUAUUUUUUAACAGUGCUUAGUAUAUAUGAGAAACUCACUUUGUUUAAUAUUGUGAAUUGAUUAAGUUUUUCUGUGUAGUUAGUACAUUAAGUUCCAUGAAUGUGUUAAAUAAUUUGAGAGUGUAAUUUGUUGUUAUUUUAUGUUUUGUUGUUCUUGCAACCUAUUCUUUACAGCUACUUGUAUUAAUGAAAUUUGAUAAUUAUUUUAAUCAAUUUAAUACUUUUUUAUAUUAAUACUAUGGAUUUUGUUAGAUAUAUUAAUUGGAUCCAUUUACCUUACUAAUGAAUAGAAUAGGUUUCCAGAAUAACAAAACUUGAAAUAAUGAUACAUUACACUCUCAAAUGGAUUAAUGAAUGAAUGUCCUUUAAUGCACUAAUAUUAGAAUGCAAUUAACAAGGUGAGUUAGAAUGUAAAUUAUUACAGCAAUUUGAUUGAAAGAUGAUCUAAGAGCACACUCUCCUUCAAGAUUGGAUCUGAAAUCUGAUGCGACAUGCUGGCUUCAGCUUCCUCAAUUAUGUCGUUUAGAUGUUCAUUCAAAGAACUCAAUGGCUGCAAUAUAAACAUUUGGUUGAAGUUCAAUCCCUGAGACAGGUAAGAAAAAAUCCAAGAAAUGGAUGCAAGUAUGUUAUCUCGAUGCAUCAAAAUCAAGAGAUGAAGCUGCUAAUCAAAUCAACUAUCUGAUCUUUCACAGUAAAGACAUUACAAAUGGCAGCCAUGCAAUGCUUAGAUUCAAAUUCAUUACUGUGCAUUACAACCUUCUGAGAUGCCACUUUAUUUAUUUGUUCUCAUUUUUCAUUAAAAACUUGUUUUUACAUUUUAACUGGUUUAAUGCUAUUAAUUAGGUAGAGAAAGGAUAUUGAGAAAUUAUAUUUUCUCUUAUUCCAUCUUGUAAACCAUUCCAACAAAUGCAUGUAAGUAUAUGUUAUCUCAAUGUAUCAAAAAUCAAGAAAUGUUGCUGCUAAUCU
Long non-coding RNA from Vigna umbellata (rice bean), 1491 nucleotides. RefSeq lists it as uncharacterized. The record is from RefSeq and is a predicted model, not a curated record. NCBI's taxonomy places the organism in Eukaryota, Viridiplantae, Streptophyta, Magnoliopsida, Fabales, Fabaceae.